UCUGGCUGACUGCUCACAGUGA
Molecule: unclassified non-coding RNA, 22 nt
Filed under: Mus musculus (house mouse)
Lineage: Eukaryota; Metazoa; Chordata; Mammalia; Rodentia; Muridae
Description: oocyte_clustered_small_RNA10452
Source: RNAcentral